RNAcentral lists this unclassified non-coding RNA (406 nucleotides) under soil metagenome. RNAcentral's name for it is "partial contains 5.8S ribosomal RNA, internal transcribed spacer 2, and large subunit ribosomal RNA". The stretch from base 1 to 121 matches the Rfam family "5.8S ribosomal RNA", at positions 35 to 154 of the family's 154-position model. The record is from RNAcentral.
GAUGAAGAACGUAGCGAAAUGCGAUAAGUAAUGUGAAUUGCAGAAUUCAGUGAAUCAUCGAAUCUUUGAACGCACCUUGCGCCCUUUGGCCAUUCCGAAGGGCAUGCCUGUUUGAGUAUCAUGAACACCUCAACUCUUCAUGGUUUUCCAUGAUGAGCUUGGACUUUGGGGGUCUUGCUGGCCUGUGGGUCGGCUCCUCUCAAAUGAAUCAGCUUGCCGGUUUUUGGUGGGCAUCACAGGUGUGAUAACUAUCUACGCUUGUGGUUUUCCACCAGGGUAACCUUCAGCAGUGGAGGUUCACUGGAGCUUACAAAUGUCUCUCCUCUGUGAGGACAGCCCUUUGAAUGUUUGAUCUCAAAUCAGGUAGGACUACCCGCUGAACUUAAGCAUAUCAAUAAGCGGAGGA